GAUAUAAUGAAUAAGGUGUGCAUGCUGAGAGAGAAGUCCCAAAACUUGAUAUAGAGGAAUUUGCUUUAUGUCUAAUGAGUUGGACUGAAACUCAUCUAUCGGUAGAACCGAAUUAAUUGUUCACGUGAUUCAUAUGAUUGUUCCACACUCGAUUCAAG
Molecule: long non-coding RNA, 158 nt
Organism: Cynara cardunculus var. scolymus (artichoke)
Lineage: Eukaryota; Viridiplantae; Streptophyta; Magnoliopsida; Asterales; Asteraceae
Exons: 4
Source: RefSeq, a predicted model, not a curated record